This 490-nucleotide ribosomal RNA is filed under the name uncultured bacterium. RNAcentral's name for it is "bacterial SSU rRNA". It matches the Rfam family "Bacterial small subunit ribosomal RNA", at positions 32 to 492 of the family's 1533-position model. The record is from RNAcentral.
AAUCAACGCUGGCGGCGUGCCUCAGACAUGCAAGUCGAACGCGAAAGGUUCCUUCGGGAGCCGAGUAGAGUGGCGCUCGGGUGAGUAACACGUAGGUAAUUUGCCUUUGGGUGGGGAAUAACAAUCGGAAACGGUUGCUAAUACCGCAUAAUGCAGCGGCUCGACAUCGAGACAGUUGUUAAAGCGGGGGAGUCCUUCGGGACCUCGCGCCUAAAGAGAAGCCUGCGGCGGAUUAGCUAGUUGGUGAGGUAAUGGCUCACCAAGGCGACGAUCCGUAACCGGCCUGAGAGGGCGGACGGUCACACUGACACUUAAAUAACGGGUCAGACUCCUACGGGAGGCAGCAGUCGGGAAUUUUGGGCGAAUGGGCGAAAGCCUGACCCAGCAACGCCGCGUGAAGGAUGAAAUCCCUCGGGAUGUAAACUUCGCAAGAACGGGAAGAAUAAGCGAGAGUAAAUACCUCUCGUGAUGACGGUACCGUUUGUAAGCU